RNAcentral lists this ribosomal RNA (638 nucleotides) under Nostoc sp. ISB93. RNAcentral describes it as "bacterial SSU rRNA". It matches the Rfam family "Bacterial small subunit ribosomal RNA", at positions 33 to 717 of the family's 1533-position model. Lineage: Bacteria; Bacillati; Cyanobacteriota; Cyanophyceae; Nostocales; Nostocaceae. The record is from RNAcentral.
CCCCUAGGGAACGCUUACCAUGCAUGUCGACGAAAUCUUCGGAUUUAGUGGCGGACGGGUGAGUAACGCGUGAGAAUCUGGCUUCAGGUCUGGGACAACCACUGGAAACGGUGGCUAAUACCGGAUGUGCCCUUCGGGGUGAAAGAUUAAUUGCCUGAAGAUGAGCUCGCGUCUGAUUAGCUAGUAGGUGUGGUAAAGGCGCACCUAGGCGACGAUCAGUAGCUGGUCUGAGAGGACGAUCAGCCACACUGGGACUGAGACACGGCCCAGACUCCUACGGGAGGCAGCAGUGGGGAAUUUUCCGCAAUGGGCGAAAGCCUGACGGAGCAAUACCGCGUGAGGGAGGAAGGCUCUUGGGUCGUAAACCUCUUUUCUCAGGGAAGAACACAAUGACGGUACCUGAGGAAUAAGCAUCGGCUAACUCCGUGCCAGCAGCCGCGGUAAUACGGAGGAUGCAAGCGUUAUCCGGAAUGAUUGGGCGUAAAGCGUCCGCAGGUGGCUAUGUAAGUCUGCUGUUAAAGAGUCUAGCUCAACUAGAUAAGAGCAGUGGAAACUACAAGGCUAGAGUACGUUCGGGGCAGAGGGAAUUCCUGGUGUAGCGGAAAAGGGGCGAAAAAAAGGGGUUAAUAUAAAAUUUU